AGUGAACGCUGGCGGUAGGCCUAACGCAUGCAAGUCGAACGGCAGCACAGUAAGAGCUUGCUCUUACGGGUGGCGAGUGGCGGACGGGUGAGGAAUACAUCGGCAUCUACUUUUUCGUGGGGUAUAACGUAGGGAAACUUACGCUAAUACCGCAUACGACCUACGUGUGAAAGCAGGGGAUCUUCGGACCUUGCGCGAUUGAAUGAGCCGAUGUCGGAUUAGCUAGUUGGCGGGGUAAAGGCCCACCAAGUCGACGAUCCGUAGCUGGUCUGAGAUGAUGAUAAAGCGCAAUAGAACUGAGACACGGUGCAGACUCCAGAGGGAAGCAGCGGAGGGGAAAAGUUGACAAUGGGCGAAAGACAGAUCAAACCAAAGCGCAGAGGUGAAAGAGGACGUCGAGUAGUAAAGCCCUUUUUUUGGGAAAGAAAAGCAGCAGGUUAAUACCCCACUGUUCUGACGGUACCCAAAGAAUAAGCACAGGCUAACUUAGUG
Molecule: ribosomal RNA, 492 nt
Filed under: uncultured bacterium
Lineage: Bacteria
Description: partial 16S ribosomal RNA
Rfam family: Bacterial small subunit ribosomal RNA
Source: RNAcentral